CGGUUUCUUCAGUUACGGCAAAUGAUGAGACACUUUAAAUAAAUCAAAUAUCACACUACCAGAAACUAAAAUUAAACAAACCAUAUGAACGACAACAAUCACGGAAUCACCAUCAAAAGAGAAUUGCAUAAACAGAUUUUUCGACGGAAGUAAUAUUUUCCAGAAAAAAAACUCAGCUCAGCUUAACCAUAAACGCUGGACUUUCUACUAAUCCCAAAAAGGAUCCAUGAAAUCUAUAUAUAUAAAGAUAGUUUUUCUCUCUUCUGGUGCUGCCACCUCAGCAGCCACCUCAGCAGCCAUCUGUGCAAUUAUUUUUUUAAAAACUUUUAGUUUGUCCGGUUUCUUUAGUUACGGCAAAUGAUGAGACACUUUAAAUAAAUCAAAUAUCACACUACCAGAAAAUAAAAUUAAACAAACCAUAUGAACGACAACAAUCACGGAAUCACCAUCAAAAGAGAAUUGCAUAAACAGAUUUUUCGACGGAAGUAAUAUUUUCCAGAAAAAAAACUCAGCUCAGCUUAACCAUAAACGCUGGACUUUCUACCAAUCCCAAAAAGGAUCCAUGAAAUCCACGCCAAAUUGGAGUCACCAACGGCACACCCAAAAAACCAAUUCCAAAGCUGAGAAACUGAUCAGCUCCCCAAUAUGAUGACGAAUAGAGGUAUAUCUAAGAAAUCAUGGGAAGGGGUUAGACCGGCACCGAUUCUGGAAAAAAGCACUGCAAGAGUGGACAAUACCGAAAUAAACGUCACUGAAUCACCCAAGGAAGAAAGAGAAGGAGGAUGAAAAAAAUGACUCAAUUAGAGACCAAAGGAAUGGGUAUGAACAAAAGGUUGGUCCGACCAAAAUUUCAAUCACCCUCUUUCAAUUGAAGCACCCUCUAUCAACAAUAGAAGAGUUUUGCCAACAUUUGAGAGAGCUAUCGAUUAAUACCUACAAUUAUGAAGGGCUAGAAACGGACACAGCUUUGUAUAAUCAAAAUGAGAUUUCAUAAACAUCGAACGAACAAAUAAAUAUAGCUGGAAAAUGAGCCAAUAUAAAAUAAUACAAAAAAUUACAGACUAAAAAAACUUUCAUACUAACCAUCCAAACCCGAUUUCAAUAUAGACAUUUUGUACUUCUUUUGACUCAAGGCCUUAUACAAAAUAUACUAACGGAGAAAGUGCUUUCACAAUUACAAAUUAAAAAAACGAAAAAAACAAAUACUUCAUAAACAAAAAUAAAUUAACAAGAAUAAAU
Molecule: long non-coding RNA, 1239 nt
Filed under: Eutrema salsugineum
Lineage: Eukaryota; Viridiplantae; Streptophyta; Magnoliopsida; Brassicales; Brassicaceae
Description: long non-coding RNA (ESAL_LNC001588)
Source: RNAcentral